Molecule: ribosomal RNA, 253 nt
Filed under: uncultured bacterium
Lineage: Bacteria
Description: partial 16S ribosomal RNA
Rfam family: Bacterial small subunit ribosomal RNA
Source: RNAcentral
UACGGAGGGGGCUAGCGUUGUUCGGAAUUACUGGGCGUAAAGCGCGCGUAGGCGGCUUUGUAAGUUAGAGGUGAAAGCCCGGAGCUCAACUCCGGAACUGCCUUUAAGACUGCAUCGCUAGAACGUCGGAGAGGUAAGUGGAAUUCCUGGUGUAGCGGUGGAAUGCGCAGAUAUCAGGAGGAACACCAACGGCGAAGGCAGCUCGCUGGGACGGUACUGACGCUGAGGCGCGAAAGCGUGGGGAGCAAACAGG